AGUGAACGCUGGCGGUAGGCCUAACACAUGCAAGUCGAACGGCAGCACAGUAAGAGCUUGCUCUUACGGGUGGCGAGUGGCGGACGGGUGAGGAAUACAUCGGAAUCUACUUUUUCGUGGGGGAUAACGUAGGGAAACUUACGCUAAUACCGCAUACGACCUACGGGUGAAAGCAGGGGAUCUUCGGACCUUGCGCGAUUGAAUGAGCCGAAGUCGGAUUAGCUAGUUGGCGUGGUAAAGGCCCACCAAGGCGACGAUCCGUAGCUGGUCUGAGAGGAUGAUCAGCCACACUGGAACUGAGACACGGUCCAGACUCCUACGGGAGGCAGCAGUGGGGAAUAUUGGACAAUGGGCGCAAGCCUGAUCCAGCCAUACCGCGUGGGUGAAGAAGGCCUUCGGGUUGUAAAGCCCUUUUGUUGGGAAAGAAAAGCAGCAGGUUAAUACCCCGCUGUUCUGACGGUACCCAAAGAAUAAGCACCGGCUAACUUCGUG
This 492-nucleotide ribosomal RNA is filed under the name uncultured bacterium. RNAcentral's name for it is "partial 16S ribosomal RNA". It matches the Rfam family "Bacterial small subunit ribosomal RNA", at positions 29 to 507 of the family's 1533-position model. The record is from RNAcentral.